This 253-nucleotide ribosomal RNA is filed under the name uncultured bacterium. RNAcentral's name for it is "partial 16S ribosomal RNA". It matches the Rfam family "Bacterial small subunit ribosomal RNA", at positions 524 to 776 of the family's 1533-position model. The record is from RNAcentral.
GACGGAGGAUGCAAGUGUUAUCCGGAAUCACUGGGCGUAAAGCGUCUGCAGGUGGUUUCCUAAGUCCACUGUUAAACCUUGAGGCUCAACCUCAAAUCUGCAUUGGAAACUAGGAGACUUGAGUAUAGUAGGGGUAGAGGGAAUUUCCAGUGGAGCGGUGAAAUGCGUAGAUAUUGGAAAGAACACCGAUGGCGAAGGCACUCUACUGGGCUAUUACUGACACUCAGAGACGAAAGCUAGGGGAGCAAAUGGG